UUUUUAUUUUGUGAAAAUAUGAUUCACAUUAGCGAAAUUGUGUGUUGUGAAGACGACGAGAUCUGAUGCAUAUGAUCUAUUCUCGUAGCCUCAAUCUAUUGUCUUGAAUGUAAAGAUCUCUGCAAAUUUAAACAAAAAUCAAAAAAUAAAUUUUCGGUGUACAUAAUAACAAGUCCAUUCAUAUGUGUCCAUAGAGAAACUUUUUUUACUGAGUCAUAUCCAUUCUACACCAAAUUUUUGUAUAAAUCUGCUCCAUCUACUUCAUUCACCCAAAUAAUCUCUACAUACAACGAUUCUCUCCCUGAAACCAUAUAAAUAUAUCGUAAUCAUAAAAAAAAGGGGUGAUAACUUUACUAAACAAUAAAACACACUCGCAGCAAAUCAAAGACAUAGUUGUCCAUUGACGAGUGUCCAAGAAGUCAAGUCCAAAUGGUCAUCUAGUAAUUAACAUAAUCAUUUCAUAUCAAUACACACGAUAAUCAUCAGUUAAAAGUACACCGUCCAUUUUUCUUUAACCAAUAUUUGCUUAUGUAUGGACACAACCAUCAUUAUAAAAUGGAUCCAUACCCUAUACAUAGAAUAUUUUAUCCAGUGAUAAAACACAUUAGUAGUAAACAAAGACGAUAUUGUCCACAGAUGUUUGUCCGAGCGGUGCAAUCCAUAUGGUCAUUGUUUGACUCAUAUGGUUAUUUGUUCUCUGUAUUUUAAGUCUCUGAAAUUCUAAGAUCUAGCAAGUAAAGAAUUGGAAGAAAAAUAAAAGCUUCAAUUAAGGUUUCAGAGCUACGAAACUCAUAAAAUUGAAUAAUGAAUGAAGUUUGGGCAGAACCCAUGAUCUUAAAUUACGUAAGUAAACACAUACAAAGCAAAAAAUCUAUGGUACAGAUCCUUAAUCCAAGUCGUGAUUGUAGUGAAUCCAUUAUCUUCCGCUUGAUUUUGUAUUUGUCGACAAAGAGAGAGAAAGAGAGAGAGAAGAGAAAUGAGGAGAGAGUGAUUUUCUGUUUGUCGAAAAGGGAGAGAAAGAGAGAGAGAAGAGAAACUAGGAGAGAGACAAAGAUUAUAAGGAGAGAGAAAUAGUUAAGAGAAGGGUAAAUAGGUAAAUUUAUUUAUACAAAGUGCCUACUUUUUGGAAAGUGCCUAAACGUGUAAUAUGUUAUAUAAAAGUGCCUUAUAGUGUAAUAUUCUCUUAUUACAUUUUCACUAUUUUAGUUUGGAAUUUCGGAUAAUUAAUCGAAACAAUAGUUUUGUCUAACCGAUCGUUUUUAAUAAGAAUGGGAAUUGUAUAUGGUUCUAAGCUAAUGAUUAAAAAUUAAAAAUAGAUAGAUUUACAAAAAUUGAUCUUCAAUAAAACUUUUGUAAAGUAAUGAGGUAUAUUUUAUUAAUCUAUCGAUAUUAAAUGUCGUAAAUAUGAUAUUUAACUAGAUUUUAACCUGCGGUACACCGUGGGACUAUUUUAUUCUUUUAAAAGUAAAAAUUUAAUAACUGUCGAUUCAAAUCCGUCCUACUAUCUAACACCGUUUAGUGAAAUUAAACAUUUUGUUUUUCUUAUUUUUGUUUUAAUAAUACUUUAAUUU
Molecule: small RNA, 1571 nt
Filed under: Arabidopsis thaliana (thale cress)
Lineage: Eukaryota; Viridiplantae; Streptophyta; Magnoliopsida; Brassicales; Brassicaceae
Description: ATSL084480
Source: RNAcentral